GACGAACGCUGGCGGCGUGCUUAACACAUGCGAGUCGAACGCUGAAGCUCAGCUUGCUGGGUGGAUGAGUGGCGAACGGGUGAGUAACACGUGAGUAACCUGCCCCCUUCUUUGGGAUAACGCCCGGAAACGGGUGCUAAUACUGGAUAUUCACUGAUCUUCGCAUGGGGGUUGGUGGAAAGGUUUUUUCUGGUGGGGGAUGGGCUCGCGGCCUAUCAGCUUGUUGGUGGGGUGAUGGCCUACCAAGGCUUUGACGGGUAGCCGGCCUGAGAGGGUGACCGGUCACAUUGGGACUGAGAUACGGCCCAGACUCCUACGGGAGGCAGCAGUGGGGAAUAUUGCACAAUGGGCGAAAGCCUGAUGCAGCGACGCCGCGUGAGGGAUGGAGGCCUUCGGGUUGUAAACCUCUUUCGCUCAUGGUCAAGCCGCAACAUUGGUUGUGGUGAGGGUAGUGUGUAAAGAAGCGCCGGCUAACUACGUG
This 481-nucleotide ribosomal RNA is filed under the name uncultured bacterium. RNAcentral describes it as "partial 16S ribosomal RNA". It matches the Rfam family "Bacterial small subunit ribosomal RNA", at positions 28 to 507 of the family's 1533-position model. The record is from RNAcentral.